CUCCCUGUGGCUCAGUUGGUAGAGCAUGGUGUUUGCAACACCAGGGCUGUGGGUUUGAUUCCACGGGGGGC
Salmo salar (Atlantic salmon) is the source of this 71-nucleotide non-coding RNA. Lineage: Eukaryota; Metazoa; Chordata; Actinopteri; Salmoniformes; Salmonidae. The record is from Rfam.